This 466-nucleotide ribosomal RNA is filed under the name uncultured bacterium. RNAcentral describes it as "partial 16S ribosomal RNA". It matches the Rfam family "Bacterial small subunit ribosomal RNA", at positions 28 to 507 of the family's 1533-position model. The record is from RNAcentral.
GAUGAACGCUGGCGGCGUGCUUAACACAUGCAAGUCGAACGAAGAAGCCCAGCUUGCUGGGUGGAUACGUGGCGAACGGGUGAGUAACAAGUGAGUAGAUUGCCCUUAUAUCUGGGAUAGGCAAGGUCGAGUGGGUCUAGUACAGGCUAGGAGAGUCAACCAAAUGGAGGGUGCUGGAGAGAUUUAUCGGUUUUGGGUGGCCUCGCGGUGUAUCAGCUUGUUGGUGAGGAAAUGGCAAACUAAGGCGAUGACAGGUAGCCGGCCUGGGAGGGUGACCGGCCACCCUGGUCCUGCGGCACGGCCCAGUCUCCUACGUGAGGCAGCAGGCGGGAAUAUUGCGCAGCGGGCGCACGCCUGUUGCAACGGUGCCGCGUUCGUGAUGCCGUCCUUCUAGUUGUAAACCACUGUCAGUGUGGAAGUAGCCAAAUUGACGGUACCUGCAGAAGAAGCACCGGCUAACUACGUG